RNAcentral lists this long non-coding RNA (2647 nucleotides) under Capsicum annuum. Its description in RNAcentral is "long non-coding RNA (CANN_LNC006272)". Lineage: Eukaryota; Viridiplantae; Streptophyta; Magnoliopsida; Solanales; Solanaceae. The record is from RNAcentral.
GCAUUCAUUCCUUUUAAAAAACCAAAUAAACCAAAACCCUAAUCCUAAAUUCAUUUCAUUAGCCUCCACCACCACUCUCUCUACCUCCUCCUCUCUCUCUCAAAACCUCUCCCGCCGCCAGCUCUCUCCGAUCCCCCUCCCCAUCGCCGCUCUGCCACCCCGUGGCCGCUCUGCCACCAACGACGGCAGCAACACUGCCUCCCUCCAUUCGCUCCUCCGGUGGAACCAGCUGCCGCCGUCAACGCCUAACACUGGCGUCGUCCCCCUCGCCUCCUCCUUCUCCCUGUUCACCAUCCCUCCUCCGGCGCCGUCCUCUCCAACGAAACCAGCGAACCAGCGCCAUCCUCCACUGCUGAAACAGCCAUCGCUUCGCCAUAAAACGAUGGGUUCUGAAGAACCCAUCCUAGGUUUGAUUUCAUAUUUUAUUUUUUCUCUCCUAACGUGACAGAUUUAUGUGAUUAGAAGUUAAUUUGAUUAAGUAUGUUGAUAAAAUCUUAUGUGCUUUAGUUUGAUUAAUUAUCUAUGCUGUUAUGCAUGAGGAUUCUCCAAUUUUAUUGUAUUAUUGGGAAUUUCUUUUUAUUUUUUUGAAAUUGUUAUAUGUGCGUAUGUUUUGACGUAGUUCAUAUCGAAAAAUUAAACUAGUAAGGUAUUUGAUUGUGUCUGCUCCUUACCGACAGUACUAGAAAGGAGAAUAAAAUUCUAACUAGAAAGGAGGUGUAGGUAUGAAGUCUGGGACUAAUUAAAAACCACACACAUGAUUAUGAAUAGUUAUAAAUUGAUUUUUUUGGUGUUAUUAGUUGAUUUUAGUUAAUUGAUUCCUGGACCACCAGUUUAGGGCACAAAGCAACACACAACUUUUAUUAUUUUUCUACCACUUGCCUAAUCGUUCAAAUUACCUUUUUUGACUGACAAGGAUUAUACAAAAUUGUAGCCAUGUGUUAUGUUAUUAUAAUUUUAUUUUAAAUUCUAUAUAUUGUUACUUUAAAAAAGAAAAAAAAAAGACUAUCAAGUCAUUCACGGAAUAUUUAUGGGUAAAAUUCUUUAAAAUGUUAAAUUUCUAGUUUUGAAAAUAAGACAGGUUCUAAGUUGAUUGAAACAGAGAUAUGAUUGGGGAUUUAGAAAAGCUUGAGCAAGAACAAUUCCAUCUAGGGGAUCUGAUUGGAAUUAUUCUGAAAUAACUAUUUAAAAAUAGUUAGUGUAGUGACUUGAAAUAUGUACUAGUGACUUGAAAAUGGUUAAGUAUAGUAACUUGAAAAUGUGAAUUAGUUAAUUGAAAAUAUGCAAGUGUAGUGACUUCAAAUGCUAGUACAUGACUUGAAAAUGGUUAAGUGUAGGGACUUUAAAGGGAAUUUUUUUGAUUUAAAGUUCUUGAAUGUGGACUUGUAUUUUGAAUUUAGUUAAGUGUGGUCACUUGAGAAGUGAAUAAGUACUUGAAAAUAUUUAAGUUUAGGUUGUUGAAAUGUGAACUUGUGUUUUGAAUUUAGUUAAGUGUGGUCACUUGUGAAGUGAGUUGGUGACUUGAAAAUGCAUAAGUGUAAGUACUUGAAACGUGGACUUGUGUUUUGAAUUUAGUUAAGUUUGGUCAUUUGUGAAGUGAAUUAGUCACUUGGAAUGUUUAGAUGUAGUUUCUUGAAUUAUGAACUUGUGUUUUGAAUAUAGUUGUGUGUGGUCACUUGAGAAGUGAGUUAGUGACUUGAAAAUGCACAAGUGUAGGUACUUGAAACGUAGACUUGUGUUUUCAAUUUAGUUAAGUUUGGUCACUUGUGAAGUGAAUUAGUCACUUGGAAUGUUUAGAUGUAGUUACUUGAAUUAUGAACUUGUGUUUUGAAUAUAGUUAAGUGUGGUCACUUGAGAAGUGAGUUAGUGACUUGAACAUGUUUAAGUGUAGGUACUUGAAAUGUAGACUUGUGUUUUGAAUAUAGUUAAGUGUGGUCACUUGAGAAGUGCAUUAGCGAGUCGAAAAUGUUUUAACUGUAGUUACUUGAAAGGUGGACUUGUGUUUUGAAUUUAGUCAAGUGUGGUCACUUGAGAAGUGAAUAAGUACUUGAAAAUGUUUUAAGUGUAGGUAGUUGAAAUGUGGACUUGUGUUUUGAAUUUAGUUAAGUGUGGUCACUUGAGAAGUGCAUUAGUGAGUCGUAAAUGUUUAAGUGUAGUUACUUGAAAGGUGGAAUAGUGAUUUUUGUUUUGAAUUUAGGUACUUGAAAUGUGAACUUGCGUUUUGAUUUUAGUACUUGAGAAGUGAAUUAGUGACUUCAAAAUGUUUUCAAAUGUAGGUACGUUUUUUCAUUUUGAAUUUAGUUUAGUUUAGUAACUUGUGAAGUGAAUUAGUUACUUGAAAAUGUUUAGGUGUAGGUAUUUGAAAUGUGAACUUUUGUGACUUGAACUAAUCACUUGAAUUUGAUUGAUUGUAUAGAUGAAAUCUGAUUAUAGCUGGAUAUAUCAACGAAAUAUCGAUAAUAGAAUGGAUAAGGCUGAGAAUGAAGUUGCGGAUAAUGAGUUGUAGUUUUUAGUAUUUUGUAUGUUUUAUAGUUUGGAUUUGGAACCUCGAUAAAUUUUGUAAAUAAUGUUUGUAUUCUUAUGGUGAUUGGUUGAUUGUAUAUUAAAUAAUUGGUGGGAUGUGUUGUAGAUAAUAAUCAAUGUUUUUAAA